UGCAGUGAUGUACUCUGAGAAAUAUUUAAUCGGUGCCCUUUCCUCAGAGUACAUGAGACAGUUGGUGCUAGCCAGCUGGCCUCCUGAUACUCCAUGACACAGAGGGAGCCCCGUCCAAGUUUACUUUCCAUCCAUCUAUUUUUGAAUCCUUUUAACACUUUAUGAGAGAGAAAGAGACAGAACAACAGAACAGGCAGCAGGCGGUGUUUAACCCCACAAAGCCACUGUUGAGCCUGAAAGCUUGGGAGCAAAUACAAUUCCUCUGGCACCUUGUCAUAAAAUAUGAAGAGUCCGUUAUCUCACCAGAUGAUUAGUCUAUGGAUUCCAUGAUCUGGCAUCCUUACAGAUUUACAAAAGAGAGAGGGAGACAGAGAGAGGUCUGUGCUGAGAUGUUUAGAGAGAAGGAUUUGGGGUUCAAGCCGCAGCAAUAUUAAUGAGGAAAGGGAGGAUGGAGCAGCCCAGAGAAGGAAUGCACUGCUCACAUCAGUUUCAAAAGAGACAGUGAAGAAGACACACAAACAUUCCUAAGUUCUUGCCUUGGCUGGAUAACCCGGCUGCAAAAGCACACCCAUGCCAGUGGUAGGGGAAUGUGGCUAUUUAUGCCAGCUCAAAGUACCAAUGAACAACUCCUCUCUGGUAUACAGCAAGAGCAAAAACUUACAGCUGAAUUCACUUGGUUCAGUGAACUUGGAUGGGAAGUUGGAGCAUGUCUACAGACCAGAUGAUGCUCUCCAGAAACAAAAUACUUGAACUGGCACACACCAAAGGACUGCCGGGCUCUUGGGUUGCUGAAUUUAGGGUAUGGCCACAACUUCCUGAUCUCAAUCUGUGAGAACACAGUUGGUGGAAUUCUUACAGCCCCAACUCUGGAGAAUGGAAUAAACACAAGAGGUAUUCUUCUCUUGACUAUUACCCUCUAAAAAAUACUUCCAAACCAAGUUCAGACCUUUUUCCUUCUUACCAAGGUUGAAUAGAUUCCAUCUUUCAGAACAUUUUCACAUACAUGUCAAACUUAGAAAAUAGCAGACCUAUUUCCAACACCCUUGUCCAGAACAACCUCAUCCCAGUACCUCUGCUCCCCUUGGUCCCAAGUCUCCUAACUCUGGAUCUUACAGAGCUUUUCCAGAAUUGGCCAAAAAUCUGAACCCUAUCACAAGGUCCAGCUGGACAAGCAGGAAGUUACACACCUAGGCUACAAGACGAGAACCACCGGCUAGCUCCCACCCUUCCCCUGGGCACGUGCCUACCUGGGGCUUGUCAGCAGGAAGGCUGGGGUGCACGCUUCUGUAGCCCUUGGCAGCAAGUGAGGAGGGCUGGGCGUUCCCAUUGGCAUCAGCAUUGGAAGAGAGCCUCCACUCAUCUGAGGGAUGGGGGGAGAAAACAAACUGUCACUCACGGGGAACACUCCCAGUUCUGCUAUAAUUCAGGGAUCCCUGGUGGAAGGCAGAGACAGUAGGAGUACAGGAGAAAGCAUACCUGCUGAAGAAUUCUCUGGCUCCAGACCUAUGUGUGGGGCAGAAAGGAUAAAGAAAGAAGAAAAGGGGAAAAACAGAAAUGGUUACAUUUGCAGGAAACAAGCAUGAGCUACAUAGAAGAACGAAAAGCCAGCACCCCAUUGUCUGACACAAAGUGCCCUCAGUCACGAUGGCCUGAUUACCAUAGGAACCCACUCUAAACCAUGAUGUGCUCACAGGCACUGACCUUUGAAAACACAAGGCUCACAUUCACAGGAAUGAAGAAACAAUUGUUCCUUGACAUUCUUAUUUUACAGACAGAAAGGCAACAGAACUCUCUACUGUCCAAUUACUCACUAACUCUCGUUCCCCUUCCUCGGGCCUGCUGUGGGCACAGAAUGACCACCCCUCACUAGCAGACUGGGCUGACUGACAGGCCCUGCACAGGAAGUGCUCAGGCCCUUUUUCUAGGAGUGGUUUUACUGUGUAGAACAGGAUUUGCACCCAGAGGUAUCUGUUGAGAGAACUUUUUCUGUCUCUGCCUGCUU
This is a long non-coding RNA of Sciurus carolinensis (gray squirrel), 2002 nucleotides long. RefSeq lists it as uncharacterized. The transcript has 3 exons. The record is from RefSeq and is a predicted model, not a curated record. NCBI's taxonomy places the organism in Eukaryota, Metazoa, Chordata, Mammalia, Rodentia, Sciuridae.